Molecule: ribosomal RNA, 303 nt
Filed under: Lamproderma ovoideum
Lineage: Eukaryota; Evosea; Eumycetozoa; Stemonitida; Stemonitidae
Description: SSU rRNA
Rfam family: Eukaryotic small subunit ribosomal RNA
Source: RNAcentral
UCUGAAUCUGCGAACGGCUCCGCAAACCAGUUGUAAACUAUAGCAAGCAGGCUCGGGGUCGGCUCUCACGGGUUGGCUUCGGGCGAUAUGGAUAACCCUGGUAAUUCUGAGGCUAAUACAUGAACGUAAAACCUGGUUGACUGGGCUUCGGUCUGGGAGGCUGGGGGAUGUGUGAUUGCAGGCUUGGGUAACACCGGGAAAGGGCGCACGUCCAGACCGCGCUAUAAAGGAUGGGACCUCUUCGGGGGACCCGCCCCAGCGGCUCUUGCUGUGUGCUUCUGACCUAUCAACUAGACGGCAGCG